CAAUAGCGUAUAUUAAAGUUGUUGCAGUUAAAAAGCUCGUAGUCGGAUUUUGGCAUCACGCCGAACUGUCUGCCGAUUGGUAAGUACGGUUUGGCGGGUGCUUCUUUCUUGAAGCUCGUUCCCUUCUUAACUGAAGGGUUCGUUGGUUCAGGUUCUUUUACUUUGAGAAAAUUAGAGUGUUCAAAGCAGGCCUAUGCUCUGAAUAGGUUAGCAUGGAAUAAUAGAAUAGGACUUUGGUUCUAUUUUGUUGGUUUCUAGGACCGAAGUAAUGAUUAAUAGGGACAGUUGGGGGCAUUCAUAUUCCAUUGUCAGAGGUGAAAUUCUUGGAUUAACGGAAGAUGAACUUCUGCCAAAGCAUCUGCCAAGGAUGUUUUCAUUGA
This 380-nucleotide ribosomal RNA is filed under the name uncultured eukaryote. RNAcentral's name for it is "partial 18S ribosomal RNA". It matches the Rfam family "Eukaryotic small subunit ribosomal RNA", at positions 592 to 976 of the family's 1831-position model. The record is from RNAcentral.